AGUGAACGCUGGCGGUAGGCCUAACACAUGCAAGUCGAACGGCAGCACAGUAAGAGCUUGCUCUUACGGGUGGCGAGUGGCGGACGGGUGAGGAAUACAUCGGAAUCUACUUUUUCGUGGGGGAUAACGUAGGGAAACUUACGCUAAUACCGCAUACGACCUACGGGUGAAAGCAGGGGAUCUUCGGACCUUGCGCGAUUGAAUGAGCCGAUGUCGGAUUAGCUAGUUGGCGGGGUAAAGGCCCACCAAGGCGACGAUCCGUAGCUGGUCUGAGAGGAUGAUCAGCCACACUGGAACUGAGACACGGUCCAGACUCCUGCGGGAGGCAGCAGUGGGGAAUAUUGGACAAUGGGCGCGAGCCUGAUCCAGCCAUACCGCGUGGGUGAAGAAGGCCUUCGGGUUGUAAAGCCCUUUUGUUGGGAAAGAAAAGCAGCAGGUUAAUACCCCGCUGUUCUGACGGUACCCAAAGAAUAAGCACCGGCUAACUUCGUG
RNAcentral lists this ribosomal RNA (492 nucleotides) under uncultured bacterium. Its description in RNAcentral is "partial 16S ribosomal RNA". It matches the Rfam family "Bacterial small subunit ribosomal RNA", at positions 29 to 507 of the family's 1533-position model. The record is from RNAcentral.